ACAUGUCUACAACAUAGAAUUAAUGCAUUGAAUCCCAUUAGAACACCGCAAUUAAGAGUGCUCAUGCUAGAGUAGUACUGGGAUGGGUGAUAGCUUGGGAAGUCCUAGUGUUUUACAUGCC
Picea glauca (white spruce) is the source of this 121-nucleotide non-coding RNA. The record is from Rfam. NCBI's taxonomy places the organism in Eukaryota, Viridiplantae, Streptophyta, Pinopsida, Pinales, Pinaceae.